Molecule: ribosomal RNA, 253 nt
Filed under: uncultured bacterium
Lineage: Bacteria
Description: partial 16S ribosomal RNA
Rfam family: Bacterial small subunit ribosomal RNA
Source: RNAcentral
UACGUAGGGUGCAAGCGUUACUCGGAAUUACUGGGCGUAAAGCGUGCGCAGGCGGUUAUGUAAGACAGGUGUGAAAUGCCCGGGCUUAACCUGGGAACUGCAUUUGUGACUGCAUGGCUAGAGUUUGGCAGAGGGGGGUAGAAUUCCACGUGUAGCAGUGAAAUGCGUAGAUAUGUGGAAGAACACCGAUGGCGAAGGCAGCCCCCUGGGUCAAGACUGACGCUCAUGCACGAAAGCGUGGGGAGCAAACAGG